This 465-nucleotide ribosomal RNA is filed under the name uncultured bacterium. RNAcentral describes it as "partial 16S ribosomal RNA". It matches the Rfam family "Bacterial small subunit ribosomal RNA", at positions 338 to 795 of the family's 1533-position model. The record is from RNAcentral.
CCUACGGGAGGCAGCAGUAGGGAAUAUUCGUCAAUGGGCGCAAGCCUGAACGAGCGAUGCCGCGUGAGUGAAGAAGGCCCUCGGGUCGUAAAGCUCUGUUGCGGGGGAAAAAAAGCAGCAUCAGGAAAUGGGUGCUGACUGAUGGUGCGCCGCCAGAAAGUCACGGCUAACUACGUGCCAGCAGCCGCGGUAAUACGUAGGUGGCAAGCGUUAUCCGGAUUUAUUGGGCGUAAAGCGAGCGCGGGCGGUUGCUUAGGUCUGAUGUGAAAGUCUUCGGCUUAACCGAAGAAGUGCAUCGGAAACCGGGCGACUUGAGUGCAGAAGAGGAAAGCGGAAUUCGAGGUGUAGCGGUGGAAUGCGUAGAUAUCAGGAAGAACACCGGUGGCGAAGGCAGCUGUCUGGUCUGCAACUGACGCUGAGGCUCGAAAGCGUGGGUAGCGAACAGGAUUAGAUACCCUGGUAGUC